This 434-nucleotide ribosomal RNA is filed under the name uncultured Clostridiales Family XIV bacterium. RNAcentral describes it as "bacterial SSU rRNA". It matches the Rfam family "Bacterial small subunit ribosomal RNA", at positions 341 to 792 of the family's 1533-position model. Lineage: Bacteria; Bacillati; Bacillota; Clostridia; Eubacteriales; Clostridiales Family XIV. Incertae Sedis. The record is from RNAcentral.
ACGGGAGGCAGCAGUGGGGAAUAUUGCACAAUGGGGGAAACCCUGAUGCAGCGACGCCGCGUGAGUGAAGAAGUAUUUCGGUAUGUAAAGCUCUAUCAGCAGGGAAGAUAAUGACGGUACCUGACUAAGAAGCCCCGGCUAACUACGUGCCAGCAGCCGCGGUAAUACGUGGGGGGCAAGCGUUAUCCGGAUUUACUGGGUGUAAAGGGAGCGUAGGUGGCGUGGCAAGUCAGAAGUGAAAGCCCGGGGCUCAACCCCGGGACUGCUUUUGAAACUGUCAUGCUGGAGUGCAGGAGAGGUAAGUGGAAUUCCUAGUGUAGCGGUGAAAUGCGUAGAUAUUAGGAGGAACACCAGUGGCGAAGGCGGCUUACUGGACUGUAACUGACACUGAGGCUCGAAAGCGUGGGGAGCAAACAGGAUUAGAUACCCUGGUA